This 629-nucleotide ribosomal RNA is filed under the name Laevocelis sp. JFM-2002. RNAcentral describes it as "eukaryotic LSU rRNA". It matches the Rfam family "Eukaryotic large subunit ribosomal RNA", at positions 672 to 1255 of the family's 3401-position model. Lineage: Eukaryota; Metazoa; Arthropoda; Insecta; Coleoptera; Scarabaeidae. The record is from RNAcentral.
GUAGUCUAGCAUGUGCGCGAGUCAUUGGGACUCUAACGAAACCUAAAGGCGUAAUGAAAGUGAAGGUCCGCCUAGCGCGGGCCGAGGGAGGAUGGGUGUCCCCGAGGGGACGCCUCGCACUCCCAGGGCGUCUCGUUCUCAUUGCGAGAAGAGGCGCACCAAGAGCGUACACGCUGGGACCCGAAAGAUGGUGAACUAUGCCUGGUCAGGACGAAGUCAGGGGAAACCCUGAUGGAGGUCCGUAGCGAUUCUGACGUGCAAAUCGAUCGUCGGAACUGGGUAUAGGGGCGAAAGACUAAUCGAACCAUCUAGUAGCUGGUUCCCUCCGAAGUUUCCCUCAGGAUAGCUGGCGCUCGCUUCUCGCGAGUCUCAUUCGGUAAAGCGAAUGAUUAGAGGCAUUGGGGUCGAAACGGCCUCAACCUAUUCUCAAACUUUAAAUGGGUGAGAUCUCCGGCUUGCUUGAACUGUGAAGCCGCGAGAUAUCGGAUCAGAGUGCCAAGUGGGCCACUUUUGGUAAGCAGAACUGGCGCUGUGGGAUGAACCAAACGCUGAGUUAAAGCGCCUAAAUCGACGCUUAUGGGAUACCAUGAAAGGCGUUGGUAACUUAAGACAGCAGGACGGGUGGCCAU